GCCGAGAUGGCGGAACUGGUAGACGCACGGGACUCAAAAUCCCGCGCCGCAAGGCGUGCCGGUUCGAUUCCGGCUCUCGGCACCA
This 85-nucleotide transfer RNA is filed under the name Cognatundibacterium squillarum. RNAcentral describes it as "Undibacterium squillarum tRNA-Leu". It matches the Rfam family "tRNA". Rfam says of the family: Transfer RNA (tRNA) molecules are approximately 80 nucleotides in length. Their secondary structure includes four short double-helical elements and three loops (D, anti-codon, and T loops). Lineage: Bacteria; Pseudomonadati; Pseudomonadota; Betaproteobacteria; Burkholderiales; Oxalobacteraceae. The record is from RNAcentral. RNAcentral also lists the same sequence under 1 other name.